RNAcentral lists this ribosomal RNA (274 nucleotides) under uncultured bacterium. Its description in RNAcentral is "partial 16S ribosomal RNA". It matches the Rfam family "Bacterial small subunit ribosomal RNA", at positions 523 to 796 of the family's 1533-position model. The record is from RNAcentral.
AUACGGAGGGUGCAAGCGUUAAUGGGAAUUACUGGGCGUAAAGCGUACGUAGGCGGUUCGUUAAGUUAGAUGUGAAAGCCCCGGGCUUAACCUGGGAACUGCAUUUAAAACUGGCGAACUAGAGUUGAGUAGAGGGGAGUGGAAUUUCAGGUGUAGCGGUGAAAUGCGUAGAGAUCUGAAGGAACACCAGUGGCGAAGGCGACUCCCUGGACUCGAACUGACGCUGAGGUACGAAAGCGUGGGUAGCAAACGGGAUUAGAAACCCUGGUAGUCC